RNAcentral lists this ribosomal RNA (492 nucleotides) under uncultured bacterium. RNAcentral describes it as "partial 16S ribosomal RNA". It matches the Rfam family "Bacterial small subunit ribosomal RNA", at positions 29 to 507 of the family's 1533-position model. The record is from RNAcentral.
AGUGAACGCUGGCGGUAGGCCUAACACAUGCAAGUCGAACGGCAGCACAGUAAGAGCUUGCUCUUACGGGUGGCGAGUGGCGGACGGGUGAGGAAUACAUCGGAAUCUACUUUUUCGUGGGGGAUAACGUAGGGAAACUCACGCUAAUACCGCAUACGACCUACGGGUGAAAGCAGGGGAUCUUCGGACCUUGCGCGAUUGAAUGAGCCGAUGUCGGAUUAGCUAGUUGGCGGGGUAAAGGCCCACCAAGGCGACGAUCCGUAGCUGGUCUGAGAGGAUGAUCAGCCACACUGGAACUGAGACACGGUCCAGACUCCUACGGGAGGCAGCAGUGGGGAAUAUUGGACAAUGGGCGAAAGCCUGAUCCAGCCAUACCGCGUGGGUGAAGAAGGCCUUCGGGUUGUAAAGCCCUUUUGUUGGGAAAGAAAAGCAGCAGGUUAAUACCCCGCUGUUCUGACGGUACCCAAAGAAUAAGCACCGGCUAACUUCGUG